RNAcentral lists this long non-coding RNA (1448 nucleotides) under Anolis carolinensis (green anole). RNAcentral describes it as "lncRNA (ENSACAG00000033414.2)". The record is from RNAcentral. Lineage: Eukaryota; Metazoa; Chordata; Lepidosauria; Squamata; Anolidae.
AUGGCUCACAUUGGGAAGGAAAACCAGCAAGAAGCCGUGCCUCUCCCAGAGCGGGCAUCAAAGGAAAGUGCUGUGCUUGCAGCAAACGCCUUCAGCAGCAAGAUCCCUGUGCUGUCUAAAAGCAGACUCGCACCCAAACAGCAGACAUGUGUAUCCAGUGGGAAGAGCAAAGCGAUCAAGGACCCAAAGGUGCCUCACACCAGUUCAGCUCCUGCUGUUGGUGGACUGGAACCGGUGGCUGCUUCAUUGCCCAAGAGCCUUUCCAGAGAACCUCUGGGGGAAGUACAUCUCAGCACAUCUGGUCACAGGAAUGAGGGCAACAGGUCUGCUGCCAAAAGAGUGGGCAACAGUGGUGGAGAAGGAACGGACACAGAGGAGUUUGUGCCUGAUGUAGCAGCUCUUGCCAGCAUCUUGUCCAACACAGGGCUGAAAUGCCAGAUGAUGAAUUCAACCCACAAGCCCAGCUUGGCCCAAAGAGUCCCUUUGAGUGGAAACAGAGCAUGUUCAGCCAGCAUUGGGACUGCCCGAGGCUCUCUAUAUACAAAGGUUUCAGAAGGAAAUCCUGUUCGCUUUUCCUGUAUCUCCAGAUCAACUUCAAAAGAUACAGAUCUCUCAAAGUCCUGUGGCCUGUCCCUGAACAUUGAACAGCUUAAGACUUUGUCAUCUAGUCUCAAGAACUACGGUCCCAGGGGGGAAGUGACUCAAUCCAGGCAUCCGGCAGAGGACCAGAGAGUGACCAAGUUUGCAGAUCCAGCAGCCAAGCCCAUUGCAGAAUGUCUGAGCAGAGUGACCCCAACUGAUGUUCCAGUUCAAAGCAACUCUGCUGGGACAAAAGACGCCACAGGAUCAUCAUGGAAAGAUGAAGAGUUUGUACCAGACUCAGCUGCCAAAGCGAGUAUCCUCUCAAAUGAAGGUUUGAGUCGAUUUGCCAUAGGGGCCAAUGGCAAGCUGAGCAUGGCCCAGCGGGUGCUCGUGAAAUGUCCUCAGAAGACUCCUGUCACUUGUGGCAACACUAGGGGUGAAAGUGACUUUUUCUUAGAGCGCCGUACUAGAGCAUCUUCGAUUGGAAAGUUUGGUCGUGUGCCUUAUCGUUCUCCUCAGGGUCUUCAAGGUCUAAAGCAGUCAGCGGCUUCUGGAGCCCAGCCAACCAAUACACCUGGCAACAGAUUUACCUCUGUUGGCUGUUCAUCCUACACUCCAGCGAGGAGGGUUCCACAAUCCUUGUGUCGCACUCCUUGGACAUUUCGUCGUGGCCCUCUUUCCUUCUCCCAUAAGAACAUGAAGGUGGGUAUCCAACCUCCAGCAGAAAUGGAGCAGGGGAAGAUUGCUAUGCGCCUCUUUGAUGAUGAGGUGGAGGCAUCAGCAAAGAAGGUGCCUGCUGCUUCCAUGAUCACACCAGAAAUGGGGAAGCUCCAGGAACUUUUAAUGAGGAUCUUGUACCUGCUCAC